AUUAUUAAUAUUUAAACUUAUAAAAAGUUUGAUAUAUCACAAUUUUUUAACAUCAUUAUAUAAUAUAUAGAGUUUAAAAAAAUCUUAAUUUUUUCCGUCAUAUUUUAUGAUUCAAAAUUUUAAAAAUGAACAUAUAUUAACCAAUUGGCAAACAAUGUGUGGGUUCAAUGUCUCGCAUCGACAAAAAUAUUUAGACAAUGAUUUAUAAACAUAUCAUAAAUAAGAUCAACAUUAAUAUAAAUAAAUGAUUUUUUUACGGGACGAGUUUGGCAGGACGUUACUUAAUAACAAUUGUAAGCUAUAAAAUAAAAAUAUAUUAUAAAUAGAUUCAAUUUGCAAAAAAAAAAA
RNAcentral lists this small RNA (348 nucleotides) under Arabidopsis thaliana (thale cress). RNAcentral's name for it is "ATSL174950". Lineage: Eukaryota; Viridiplantae; Streptophyta; Magnoliopsida; Brassicales; Brassicaceae. The record is from RNAcentral.